GGCGCUGUGGCUUAGUGGGUUAAAGCCCCAGCCUGCAGCGCUGGCAUUCCAUAUGGGCGCUGGUUCUAAUCUUGGCUGUUCCU
This 83-nucleotide transfer RNA is filed under the name Oryctolagus cuniculus (rabbit). It matches the Rfam family "tRNA". Rfam says of the family: Transfer RNA (tRNA) molecules are approximately 80 nucleotides in length. Their secondary structure includes four short double-helical elements and three loops (D, anti-codon, and T loops). Lineage: Eukaryota; Metazoa; Chordata; Mammalia; Lagomorpha; Leporidae. The record is from Rfam by way of RNAcentral.